Lathyrus oleraceus (garden pea) is the source of this 654-nucleotide long non-coding RNA. RefSeq lists it as uncharacterized. The record is from RefSeq and is a predicted model, not a curated record. The transcript has 3 exons. NCBI's taxonomy places the organism in Eukaryota, Viridiplantae, Streptophyta, Magnoliopsida, Fabales, Fabaceae.
CAUGUGAUUCACACUUUACACGUUUCUCACAUGUUCAAACAUCAUCUUGUAACAUCAGCCUCCUCCACCGCUUCGGAGCUCACCACCGAAGGCAGUGGAGCACCAAACAUUAAUAUCAGAUAUACCACAUCCCCCCAUUUUUCAAGCUCUAACUGAAUCCAACACUAAGGUUAGGUAUUUAAUUCCUCAAAAGGUGAAGAGAUGUCUCUUACUUGCCGAAGAUGAAGGCCUGAGACUGGAGAAAAUGAAGAUGUUUGAACAAGCUUCAGGUUCCAGGGUGAUGGCCUGCUGAUUGGUGAGCAAUGUGGUUGCAUUCCUACGACAGGAUUGUUGGCUUGUGGUCAUGGCUUCAAGAUAUGGCAAAAACAAGGCUUGGCAAGUGAACAUUCAAGGCAUGGCAAAAAACAAAACUUGGUGCAAAAGGUGGUUGCUCAUGAAUAAAUUUAGUGAUGGAAUCACAUGGAAAUAUGGGAAAUGAUAUGGAAUUCAAGUAGGCAUUAGGAUUAGGUAAUUAGAAUAGAUCAAUUGACUUUGGUCAAGUGGUUGACCAAAAAGUCAACUGUAGGUUAACUCUGUAUUUUUUUUUUCAUUUUUCUUGUAUAGACAAUGUAAAUGACAAAUAAGUUAAUGAAUGGACAAUAUUUUGAAUGGAAA